GAUGAACGCUAGCGAUAGGCUUAACACAUGCAAGUCGAGGGGCAGCAUGGUCUUAGCUUGCUCAGACUGAUGGCGACCGGCGCACGGGUGCGUAACGCGUAUGCAACUUGCCUCACAGAGGGGGAUAACCCGUCGAAAGACGGACUAAUACCGCGUACACUUGGGAUAGGGCAUCCUGACCCAAGGAAAUGAAAUUCGCUGUGAGAUAGGCAUGCGUCCCAUUAGCUAGUUGGUGAGGUAACGGCUCACCAAGGCGACGAUGGGUAGGGGAACUGAGAGGUUGAACCCCCACACUGGUACUGAGACACGGACCAGACUUCUACGGGAGGCAGCAGUGAGGAAUAUUGGUCAAUGGGCGAGAGCCUGAACCAGCCAAGUCGCGUGAAGGAUGACUGUCUUAGGGAUUGUAAACUUCUUUUAUACGGGAAUAACAAGAGCCACGUGUGGCUCCCUGCAUGUACCGUAUGAAUAAGCAUCGGCUAACUCCGUG
This 490-nucleotide ribosomal RNA is filed under the name uncultured bacterium. RNAcentral's name for it is "partial 16S ribosomal RNA". It matches the Rfam family "Bacterial small subunit ribosomal RNA", at positions 28 to 507 of the family's 1533-position model. The record is from RNAcentral.